UCCCGUGUCCCAUUAGCUUGUUGGCGGGGUAAUGGCCCACCAAGGCGACGAUGGGUAGCCGGCCUGAGAGGGUUGUCGGCCACACUGGGACUGAGAUACGGGCCAGAAUCCUACGGGAGGCAGCAGUCUGAGAAAGCUUCUUGGGAUGGGCGAAAGCCUGAGCGAGCGACACCGCGUGAGCGAAGAAAAGGCUAUAUGGUUGUGAGCUCUGUCAGAUAUGUGAAGAGAACUUCUCGGUUAAUACCCGCGAAACUUGACGGUGCCGUCAGAGGAAGCACCGGCUAACUCCGUGCCAGCAGCCGCGGUAAUACGGAGGGUGCGAGCGUUGUGCGGAUUCACUGGGUAUAAACGGUGUGCACGCGGCCUGAUAAGUCACGGGUGAAAUAUGACGGCUCAACCGUCAAACUGCCCCUGAAACUGUCAGGCUUGAGUCCGGGAGGGGAACGCGGAAUUCCUGGUGUACCGGUGAAAUGCGUAAAUAUCAGGAGGAACACCAGUGGCGAAGGCGGCCUUCUGGCCCGGAACUGACGCUCAGACACGAAAGCUAGGGGAGCGAACAGGAUUAGAUACCCUGGUAGUCCUAGCCGUAAACGAUGGGCACUAGGUGUUGGGGGAGUCUACCCCCUCAGUGCCGCAGCUAAUGCAUUAAGUGCCCCACCUGGGGAGUACGAUCGCAAGGUUGAAACUCAAAGGAAUUGACGGGGGCCCGCACAAGCGGUGGAGCAUGUGGUUUAAUUCGAUGCAACGCGAAGAACCUUACCUGGGCUUGACAUGCAGGGGACAGGUGCGGAAACGUACCCUUCUUCGGACCCCUGUGCAGGUGCUGCAUGGCCGUCGUCAGCUCGUGUCGUGAAAUGUUGGGUUAAGUCCCGCAACGAGCGCAACCCCUGUCUUCAGUUGCCAUCAGUUCGGCUGGGGACUCUGGAGAGACUGCCGGUGACAAACCGGAGGAAGGUGGGGACGACGUCAAGUCAUCAUGGCCCUUACGCCCAGGGCUACACACGUGCUACAAUGGUCGGUACAAUGGGCUGCGAUACCGCGAGGUGGAGCGAAUCCCAAAAAGCCGGCCUCAGUUCGGAUUGGAGUCUGCAACCCGACUCCAUGAAGUCGGAAUCGCUAGUAAUCGCGCAUCAGAAUGGCGCGGUGAAUACGUUCCCGGGCCUUGUACACACCGCCCGUCAAGU
Molecule: ribosomal RNA, 1184 nt
Filed under: uncultured organism
Description: bacterial SSU rRNA
Rfam family: Bacterial small subunit ribosomal RNA
Source: RNAcentral